GCGAACGCUGGCGGCAGGCCUAACCCAUGCAAGUCGCACGAACCUUUCGGGGUUAGUGGCGGACGGGUGAGUAUCACGUGGGAACGUGCCUUUAGGUUCGGAAUAACUCAGGGAAACUUGUGCUAAUACCGAAUGUGCCCUUCGGGGGAAAGAUUUAUCGCCUUUAGAGCGGCCCGCGUCUGAUUAGCUAGUUGGUUGAGGUAAUGGCUCACCAAGGCGACGAUCAGUAGCUGGUCUGAGAGGAUGAUCAGCCACAUUGGGACUGAGACACGGCCCAAACUCCUACGGGAGGCAGCAGUGGGGAAUCUUGCGCAAUGGGCGAAAGCCUGACGCAGCCAUGCCGCGUGAAUGAUGAAGGUCUUAGGAUUGUAAAAUUCUUUCACCGGGGACGAUAAUGACGGUACCCGGAGAAGAAGCCCCGGCUAACUUCGUG
Molecule: ribosomal RNA, 433 nt
Filed under: uncultured bacterium
Lineage: Bacteria
Description: partial 16S ribosomal RNA
Rfam family: Bacterial small subunit ribosomal RNA
Source: RNAcentral